Molecule: ribosomal RNA, 253 nt
Filed under: uncultured bacterium
Lineage: Bacteria
Description: partial 16S ribosomal RNA
Rfam family: Bacterial small subunit ribosomal RNA
Source: RNAcentral
GACGGAGGGUGCAAGCGUUAUCCGGAAUGAUUGGGCGUAAAGCGUUCGCAGGUGGCUAUUCAAGUCUGCUGUCAAAGACCGGGGCUUAACCCCAGAGAGGCAGUGGAAACUGAAUGGCUGGAGUGCAGACCGGGUAGAGGGAAUUCCCAGUGUAGCGGUGAAAUGCGUAGAGAUUGGGAAGAACACCGGUGGCGAAAGCGCUCUGCUGGACUGCAACUGACACUGAGGGACGAAAGCUCGGGGAGCGAAAGGG